UGGGGAAUAUUGCACAAUGGGCGCAAGCCUGAUGCAGCAACGCCGCGUGAACGAUGAAGGUCUUCGGUUCGUAAAGUUCUGUUGCAGGGGAAGAUAAUGACGGUACCCUGUGAGGAAGCCCCGGCUAACUACGUGCCAGCAGCCGCGGUAAUACGUAGGGGGCUAGCGUUAUCCGGAUUUACUGGGGGUAAAGGGUGCGUAGGUGGUCUUUCAAGUCGGUGGUUAAAGGCUACGGCUCAACCGUAGUUAGCCUCCGAAACUGGAAGACUUGAGUGUAGGAGAGGAAAGUGGAAUUCCCAGUGUAGCGGUGAAAUGCGUAGAUAUUGUGGGGAACACCAGUAGCGAAGGAGGCUUUCUGGACUGCAACUGACACGGUGGAACGAAAGAGUGGGUAGCAAACAGG
This 403-nucleotide ribosomal RNA is filed under the name Verrucomicrobiota bacterium. RNAcentral describes it as "Verrucomicrobia bacterium partial 16S ribosomal RNA". It matches the Rfam family "Bacterial small subunit ribosomal RNA", at positions 355 to 776 of the family's 1533-position model. The record is from RNAcentral. Lineage: Bacteria; Pseudomonadati; Verrucomicrobiota.